GUUGAGUGAUGACUAACUUUAUGUGCCAACUUGACUGGGCCAUGGAGUGCCCAUAUAUUUGGUCAAA
Small nucleolar RNA from Cynocephalus volans (Philippine flying lemur), 67 nucleotides. RefSeq annotates it as small nucleolar RNA SNORD66. The transcript has a single exon. The record is from RefSeq and is a predicted model, not a curated record. NCBI's taxonomy places the organism in Eukaryota, Metazoa, Chordata, Mammalia, Dermoptera, Cynocephalidae.